This 367-nucleotide long non-coding RNA is filed under the name Carica papaya (papaya). RNAcentral's name for it is "long non-coding RNA (CPAP_LNC009307)". The record is from RNAcentral. Lineage: Eukaryota; Viridiplantae; Streptophyta; Magnoliopsida; Brassicales; Caricaceae.
GAAAGGCAAGAAAGUUCGAGUGGAGUCUUUGUUCUAAGAUUAGAGAACAACUAUAUAUGUUCAAGCUUAGUACUUUCUUAGCUGCUCUAGCAAAGGCACAACUAGUGGAGAGGAACCUUCAUUUUUUUUCUCCAGUAGUGGGGAACCUCAGCCCCCCAGUUUCACACCGCAAACCAGCACCCACUCACCUAUUCAGUAGAAUAAGAGACCUAGGCCAGUGACUCAGGCUCCUCCUCAUAUUCUAGUAACAAGAUGCAGUAGGACUUGUUAACACUGUUGCAAGGAUCAUGGGGACUGACCAUGCUAUCACUUCAACAAUACUUGUCGUAUAUGUAAGAGUGCCCAGUACUACGCGAGAAAGUGCCCG